AUGUUCGGGGACGCAGAGAGGAACUCGGGGCUGCCUCUAAAUUACGUGCCACAGACUCGGCGAUGCGGCCCCACGUUGGGAACGCUUGUGAUUGAUUCUCUGCGGCUGGAGGCUGACCCUUCACUCCUGUUCCUCUCCCUUGGACGCUGUGAACCGCAAGCAUCGUUCCCUCCUGACCCAUUUGCGGAGGCAGGCCCUGGCCCUCGGCGUUCCGGAAGCUUCUGCUUGGCUGUGACACUGGACAGCCUGCUGUCUCUGGCUCCUGGGGCUCCGGGGUGGCUUCGUCUUCCGGGUUUCCACCCAGAGGCUGACGCAGAACAACAUGCCCGCCCAGCCAGCGUUCGGGGAAUGAAACCCGCGGCCAUGCUGCAUUCAGGGGCCAGCUGUCCGGCUGGAGAGAAGCGCGAGGAUUUACGGCCAUCGAGGGGCCGGUCAGCAUCCCCGCCCCCUCGCUUUAUGACGCUCAGCUCUGGGAACAACACCGCUUCUGAACCGGCGUCAGUUGGCAAGCAGCUUGGCAUGGUCCUGGUGCUGUCUCCUGUCAUCUGGUUGCUAGGAUGCCCAGAGCAGCUCGGACCCCUGCCUCUGCUCGAGGAGGGGUCGCAGGGGCCGGGCAAGCUCAGCAGGUGCUGUGGGACGUGAUGGGCUGUUUGCCUUGUUACACGGGCCCUGAGGCCUGGCAGGACCAUCAGAAGUGAGUCGUGUCCCCCACUGGCUGCAGUAGGCUCUAAACCCAGCGUCCCAAAGAUUUUCUCCACUUUCCCUGGGAAAUGUGGGGCCCAGGUGGAAAAAUCAAACCCUCAGACGCAAGCCUGUGGGCUCCUCCACCGGUUUGGUGGCUGAGGGGCUCUGCUGAUCAAUAAAAUAGGCGGUGGCAUUUCA
Molecule: long non-coding RNA, 882 nt
Filed under: Bos indicus x Bos taurus (hybrid cattle)
Lineage: Eukaryota; Metazoa; Chordata; Mammalia; Artiodactyla; Bovidae
Description: lncRNA (ENSBIXG00005022345.1)
Source: RNAcentral